Molecule: ribosomal RNA, 517 nt
Filed under: uncultured Staphylococcus sp.
Lineage: Bacteria; Bacillati; Bacillota; Bacilli; Caryophanales; Staphylococcaceae
Description: partial 16S ribosomal RNA
Source: RNAcentral
CACGUAGUUAGCCGUGGCUUUCUGAUUAGGUACCGUCAAGAUGUGCACAGUUACUUACACAUUUAUUCUUCCCUAAUAACAGAGUUUUACGAGCCGAAACCCUUCAUCACUCACGCGGCGUUGCUCCGUCAGGCUUUCGCCCAUUGCGGAAGAUUCCCUACUGCUGCCUCCCGUAGGAGUCUGGACCGUGUCUCAGUUCCAGUGUGGCCGAUCACCCUCUCAGGUCGGCUACGUAUCGUUGCCUUGGUAAGCCGUUACCUUACCAACUAGCUAAUACGGCGCGGGUCCAUCUAUAAGUGAUAGCAAAACCAUCUUUCACUUUAGAACCAUGCGGUUCCAAAUGUUAUCCGGUAUUAGCUCCGGUUUCCCGAAGUUAUCCCAGUCUUAUAGGUAGGUUACCCACGUGUUACUCACCCGUCCGCCGCUAACGUCAAAGGAGCAAGCUCCUUAUCUGUUCGCUCGACUUGCAUGUAUUAGGCACGCCGCCAGCGUUCAUCCUGAGCCAGGAUCAAACUCU